CGUCCGUUCGUGCUAUCCUGUACGGUGUGAUCACAGCUGAAGUGAGAAGUAAACACUUCUAGGCUUAGAUUUAGAAAAAUGUGUUCUUAAAAAGGGACAAAUAUUAACUGCGGGACAAUACCUUGUGUAUACUAUAAAUAUAGAUAUAAAAGAAGAUGUGGUAUGAUUGCCAAUGAGACAACUCUCCACAAGCGAACAAAAUGACACAGAAAUUAACAACUAUAGGUCACCGUACGGCCUUCAACCAUGAGCAAACCCCAUACUGCAUAGUCAGCUAUAAAAGGCCCUAAAAUGACAAUGUAAAACAAUUGUAGCGAGAAAACUUACGGCCUUAUUUAUUUUAAAAAAUGAACGAAAAAAAUAAAUAUGUAACACAUAAACAAACGACAACCACUGAAAUACAUGGUCCUAACUUAGGACAGGCACAUACAUACAUAAUGUGGCGGGGUUAAACAUGUUAUAGCGGGAUCCCAACC
This 476-nucleotide long non-coding RNA is filed under the name Mytilus galloprovincialis (Mediterranean mussel). The record is from RNAcentral. Lineage: Eukaryota; Metazoa; Mollusca; Bivalvia; Mytilida; Mytilidae.